UAACCUGCGGAAGGAUCAUUGU
RNAcentral lists this ribosomal RNA (22 nucleotides) under Cryptandra intratropica. Its description in RNAcentral is "partial 18S ribosomal RNA". Lineage: Eukaryota; Viridiplantae; Streptophyta; Magnoliopsida; Rosales; Rhamnaceae. The record is from RNAcentral.